GGGGGUGUAGCUCAGUGGUAAAGUGCAUGCUUAGCAUGCGUGAGUUCCUGUGUUCAAUCCCCAGUACCUCCA
RNAcentral lists this transfer RNA (72 nucleotides) under Camelus bactrianus (Bactrian camel). It matches the Rfam family "tRNA". Rfam says of the family: Transfer RNA (tRNA) molecules are approximately 80 nucleotides in length. Their secondary structure includes four short double-helical elements and three loops (D, anti-codon, and T loops). RNAcentral also lists the same sequence under 1 other name. The record is from Rfam by way of RNAcentral. Lineage: Eukaryota; Metazoa; Chordata; Mammalia; Artiodactyla; Camelidae.